Molecule: ribosomal RNA, 464 nt
Filed under: uncultured bacterium
Lineage: Bacteria
Description: partial 16S ribosomal RNA
Rfam family: Bacterial small subunit ribosomal RNA
Source: RNAcentral
GACGAACGCUGGCGGCGUGCCUAACACAUGCAAGUCGAGCGAAUGAAGUUCCUUCGGGAAUGGAUUUAGCGGCGGACGGGUGAGUAACACGUGGGCAACCUGCCUCAUAGAGGGGAAUAGCCUCCCGAAAGGGAGAUUAAUACCGCAUAAGAUUGUAGUACCGCAUGAUACAGCAAUUAAAGGAGCAGUCCGCUAUGAGAUGGGCCCGCGGCGCAUUAGCUAGUUGGUGAGGUAAUGGCUCACCAAGGCGACGAUGCGUAGCCGACCUGAGAGGGUGAUCGGCCACAUUGGGACUGAGACACGGCCCAGACUCCUACGGGAGGCAGCAGUGGGGAAUAUUGCACAAUGGGGGAAACCCUGAUGCAGCAACGCCGCGUGAGUGAUGACGGCCUUCGGGUUGUAAAGCUCUGUCUUCAGGGACGAUAAUGACGGUACCUGAGGAGGAAGCCACGGCUAACUACGUG